GACACAGGGAGCACCCUGCGUGGUCUGGGUGGGCCCAGGGUCGUCACAGGGAUGCUGAUAAGAAAGACGCAGGUCAGAGUGAGAAUGAGAGGUGGUGGGGGAAGCAGAGGUUGGAGCAAUGCAAGAGGGGGCCCCGAGUCAAGGUUGGGGCAGCCUCUGAAAUCCGGAGAAGGCAAGCAAGUGGAGCCUCCCCUGGGGCCUCCAGGAGGAAGGUGGCUCUGACGACACCUUGACUUUAGCUCAGUGGGGCCUAUAAGACGCAGCAGUCCUGGUACCCACUCCAUCGAGCUGUUGUGACAUUUAAAUGACAUGUAUCUGAAGCACUUAAAGAGGAAGUCAAAUAAACGGUAGAUGGCUUUACCAUGUGUUUUAAAAACUCAUAUUAUCAGAGAUCCUCCUGAGUCCAUUGUCCCAGAAGCCUUUGGGGACCCACAGACGUGUGACUGAAGUCCUGCAUCCCAGCCCCCACAGCCCUGAUCCUGAAGGGCAUUGCAAGGGCUGCGUCACUCACUCUGGUAACGUGACAAUGGCAACUGAAAAAUGUCACCAAGCCGUGUGGCUGUGACGCAGGCGAGAAGGACCCGGAAGAUGCCGUUAAGAAAACGCUGGGUGGUUGCCAAGAUAUGGCAUAACUGAUGACUUCAUUCCACAACUUCCUGGUCACGCAUGGUGAUCCCUUCUGCCAUUCUGACGGCUUUGCUUUGCACCUGAGAGACUGAAGACUCAAAGGGGCCAGGGCCAGACACGACAUAGAAAGGAGAACUCUGGCCCCCACCCACAGCGCCCAGCUUAGGAGCCCGCCCGUCACCUACAGCCGCCAGCCCAAGAAGACAGCCUAUACCCAGACUGCCGGACGUCAGACCUCGUCUCCGGUAACCAACCAAGAUGCCAAGCGAUAACCUCUGAAGCAGUCAGCCCCAAAUGUCCAGGAUUGGGCGCACAGGCUGCCACUUCCGGCUGGCUCUCCUUUAACUUCCGGGUCGGCAGCCUCCAGUUGCGGCAGCGCCUCCUUUUCUCCACUGGAGAGCCUUCCCAUUCACGCUGAGCUGCUCUCUUGUGUCCGACUCUGUGCAAGCCCAGGCACUCUAGCCCGCCAGGCUCCUCUGCCCGUGGGAUUCUCCAGGCAAGAAUGCUGGCUGCCAUCUCCUCCUCCGGCGCAUCUUCCCGACCCAGGGAUUGAACCCACAUCUCCGUGUCUCUUGACUUGGCCGGUGUAUUCAUCACUGCACCACCCGGGAAGCCUUCCCACGAGUCUCUGCCAGAGGCAAGUGAGGGUGACUGGCUCCCUCGCUGUAUAUAGCAAGCUCUGAACAAACA
Non-coding RNA from Odocoileus virginianus texanus, 1317 nucleotides. The record is from RefSeq and is a predicted model, not a curated record. NCBI's taxonomy places the organism in Eukaryota, Metazoa, Chordata, Mammalia, Artiodactyla, Cervidae.